UUACCACCUUGACAUGAAAGAGAUUUCGAAAGACACAGGUGCUGCAUGGCCGUCGUCAGCUCGUGUCGUGAGAUGUUGGGUUAAGUCCCGCAACGAGCGCAACCCUAUCUUAGUUGCUACUGAAGGGACUCUAAGAGACUGCCGGUGACAACCGGAGGAAGGUGGGGAUGACGUCAGGUCAUCAUGGCCCUUAUGGUGGGCUACACACGUCAUACAAUGGGGUACAAGGGGCACCGCGAGGGGAGCAAUCUCAAAACCGUCGUAGUCCGGAUCGCAGUCUGCAACUCGACUGCGUGAAGUCGGAAUCGCUAGUAAUCGCGAUCAGCUCGCGCGGUGAAUACGUUCCCGGGUCUUGUACACACCGCCCGUCACACCAUGGGAGCGGGUCGCCGAA
This 394-nucleotide ribosomal RNA is filed under the name uncultured bacterium. RNAcentral describes it as "bacterial SSU rRNA". It matches the Rfam family "Bacterial small subunit ribosomal RNA", at positions 971 to 1425 of the family's 1533-position model. The record is from RNAcentral.